GAGUCAAACAAAAUGGACUUUAGGACGGUGCUGCUAACUGUGACUCUCUGCUGUGCAGGUGUUGAUGGUCAGACUCUGACAGAAUCUGAACCAGCAGUAAAAAGACCAGGAGAAUCCCACAGACUGACCUGUACAGCCUCUGGAUUCACAUUCAGCAGCUAUGAAAUGAACUGGGUCAGACAGGCUCCUGGAAAAGGGCUGGAGUGGAUCGCUCGCAUCUGGGAGAGUGGUAGCAGAACUUUCUACUCUCAGUCAGUCCAAGGCCGUUUUACCAUCUCCAGAGACAACAGCAGACAGCAGCUGUAUCUGCAGAUGAACAGCUUGAAGACUGAAGAUUCUGCUGUUUAUUAUUGUGCUCGAAGGCCACAGUGA
Archocentrus centrarchus (flier cichlid) is the source of this 372-nucleotide non-coding RNA. Lineage: Eukaryota; Metazoa; Chordata; Actinopteri; Cichliformes; Cichlidae. The record is from the annotation of a RefSeq genome assembly.